UUAUUUUCUUAAUAUCUAUAAUUUCUAUGUUUUUAAGUAUAUAUAAUAUUAAAACUUUAAGAUAAUCUAAAUGAUCUAUUUUUAAAAUUGUUUUGUAGCUGUUUGUUUUAGUCUUAGUAGUUUUUGCAUAUUUUUAUUAAGAAAUUUUAUAUCUUUGUUUUCCAUGUGUUUAUUUUUAUUUUUUCUAGUAACUGCAAAAGUUUUUUUUUUUAUCUUUUUUCUAAAAUUUUAUGUAAUUUAUCACCUUAAGUAUUUAUAAGAGUCGUUAGGUAUUUGUGGUAUAUAGCUUAUUCUAGACAUAUAAUUUUUACCAAAAGCUUUUUCUAAUAUUAUUUUUCUUAUAUCUGCUACUUUUAUAUUUCUAAGUGCAUACAAAAUAAGUAUCUUGAAUUUAUCUACCAUCACAUCAGAUAUAUUAUCAUUCAUUUUUCAUAAAUUUGCUUUUUUCAAAAUAUUCCCUUCAAUCACGUACACAACAAAAUAUGGUCAUAUUGGCUUACUAUAUACUAGAUUAUUCUUAAAUAAUAUGUUCUUCCGUCACUAUUAACAUGGUAAUCUGGAUACUUUUUCCCUUAAACAGCGCCUCUACUCUGGUUACUCCCCGCCACGGCUUCUUGCCUCAAUGGUUUCACCUUUAGGAUGGCAUAGUCCUUAGGGAUAUUUCUCCGUUUCCUCUUUGUUAAUAAACUUCUUAACAUAUUAUUCUUCG
RNAcentral lists this long non-coding RNA (709 nucleotides) under Capsicum annuum. RNAcentral describes it as "long non-coding RNA (CANN_LNC004893)". Lineage: Eukaryota; Viridiplantae; Streptophyta; Magnoliopsida; Solanales; Solanaceae. The record is from RNAcentral.